Molecule: transfer RNA, 76 nt
Filed under: Saccharomyces cerevisiae (brewer's yeast)
Lineage: Eukaryota; Fungi; Ascomycota; Saccharomycetes; Saccharomycetales; Saccharomycetaceae
Description: tRNA-Gly (GCC) (tRNA-Gly-GCC-2-1)
Rfam family: tRNA (bases 14-68)
About the family: Transfer RNA (tRNA) molecules are approximately 80 nucleotides in length. Their secondary structure includes four short double-helical elements and three loops (D, anti-codon, and T loops). Further hydrogen bonds mediate the characteristic L-shaped molecular structure. tRNAs have two regions of fundamental functional importance: the anti-codon, which is responsible for specific mRNA codon recognition, and the 3' end, to which the tRNAs corresponding amino acid is attached (by aminoacyl-tRNA synthetases). tRNAs cope with the degeneracy of the genetic code in two manners: having more than one tRNA (with a specific anti-codon) for a particular amino acid; and 'wobble' base-pairing, i.e. permitting non-standard base-pairing at the 3rd anti-codon position.
Source: RNAcentral
ACGUUAAUAAAACANUUUAGUGGUAAAAUCCAACGUUGCCAUCGUUGGGCCCCCGGUUCGAUUCCGGGCUUGCGCA